Long non-coding RNA from Gastrolobium bilobum, 322 nucleotides. RefSeq lists it as uncharacterized. The record is from RefSeq and is a predicted model, not a curated record. Lineage: Eukaryota; Viridiplantae; Streptophyta; Magnoliopsida; Fabales; Fabaceae. The transcript has 3 exons.
AUUUCUAGAAUUGUCUUAUUUCUACCCAAGUUAUGUAUUAGAGUCAAAAACUAAUUCCCUUCUGCUUUGUACAUACAGCAAUCAGACAGUGUUCUGAUUUUAGAGUGACAAAAAUCUGUGCUUUGUGAACAUCUUGCCAGAAAUGAGCGACCCCAAGUAUGCCUAUCCUUACCCUGCUCAAGGGUAUUAUCAAGGUCCUCCUGUGAUGGCACCGCCACAAUAUGCUGCUCCACCGCCCAGAAGAGAUACUGGAUUCCUUGAGGGAUGUCUUGCAGCUCUGUGUUGUUGUUGCCUCUUAGAUGAGUGCUGCUGUGACCCCUCG